CACCCGAUGGCACAAGGUGUGCGCCUGUUGCUUGUUCUCUGUAUGUAACCUUGUAAUCAGGAAGUCCCUGUUCGAUUCGAGGUCGGGUGC
Molecule: non-coding RNA, 90 nt
Organism: Mycena leptocephala
Lineage: Eukaryota; Fungi; Basidiomycota; Agaricomycetes; Agaricales; Mycenaceae
Source: the annotation of a GenBank genome assembly